RNAcentral lists this ribosomal RNA (560 nucleotides) under uncultured bacterium. RNAcentral's name for it is "bacterial SSU rRNA". It matches the Rfam family "Bacterial small subunit ribosomal RNA", at positions 28 to 634 of the family's 1533-position model. The record is from RNAcentral.
AACGAACGCUGGCGGCAUGCCUAACACAUGCAAGUCGAACGAAGCCUUCGGGCUUAGUGGCGCACGGGUGCGUAACACGUGGGAAUCUGCCCUUCGGUUCGGAAUAACAGUUAGAAAUGACUGCUAAUACCGGAUGAUGACGAAAGUCCAAAGAUUUAUCGCCGAAGGAUGAGCCCGCGUAGGAUUAGGUAGUUGGUAGGGUAAUGGCCUACCAAGCCGACGAUCCUUAGCUGGUCUGAGAGGAUGAUCAGCCACACUGGGACUGAGACACGGCCCAGACUCCUACGGGAGGCAGCAGUGGGGAAUAUUGGACAAUGGGCGAAAGCCUGAUCCAGCAAUGCCGCGUGAGUGAUGAAGGCCUUAGGGUUGUAAAGCUCUUUUACCAGGGAUGAUAAUGACAGUACCUGGAGAAUAAGCUCCGGCUAACUCCGUGCCAGCAGCCGCGGUAAUACGGAGGGAGCUAGCGUUGUUCGGAAUUACUGGGCGUAAAGCGCACGUAGGCGGUUACUCAAGUCAGAGGUGAAAGCCCGGGGCUCAACCCCGGAACUGCCUUUGAAACU